RNAcentral lists this ribosomal RNA (475 nucleotides) under uncultured bacterium. RNAcentral describes it as "bacterial SSU rRNA". It matches the Rfam family "Bacterial small subunit ribosomal RNA", at positions 26 to 518 of the family's 1533-position model. The record is from RNAcentral.
GCUAGGACGAACGCUGGCGGCGUGCUUCAUACAUGCAAGUCGAACGAGAAGCUCACUUCGGUGAGUGGAAAGUGGCGGACGGGUGAGUAAUGUGUAGAGAAUCUGCCCUAGAGUGGGGGAUAGCAGUUGGAAACGACUAUUAAUACCCCAUAUGCGCGUAGCUGAGAUGCUAUUCGUGAAAACUCCGGUGCUCUAGGAUGAGUCUGCAUCUGAUUAGCUAGUUGGCGGUGUAGUGGACCACCAAGGCGACGAUCAGUAGCUGGUUUGAGAGGAUGAUCAGCCACAAUGGGACUGAGACACGGCCCAUACUCCUACGGGAGGCAGCAGUAGGGAAUUUUGCGCAAUGGGGGAAACCCUGACGCAAGCAACGCCGCGUGAAUGAAGAAGCCCUUCGGGGUGUAAAGUUCUGUCAGUGGGGACGAAACUUGACGGUACCCACAGAGGAAGCAUCGGCUAACUCCGUGCCAGCAGCAGC